This 893-nucleotide long non-coding RNA is filed under the name Mus musculus (house mouse). RNAcentral describes it as "Ppp1r36 downstream neighbor (Ppp1r36dn)". Lineage: Eukaryota; Metazoa; Chordata; Mammalia; Rodentia; Muridae. The record is from RNAcentral.
AGUGAAGUAGGAGGGGCAACGAGAGCAGGGGUCACGGAAGAUAAAAAAUGUACUGUGUAAUCCAGGAAGUGGGUCGCUGAAAUUGAGAUGGCCACAGAAAAGGGACCAUCAGAUGUGCGAUCAUGCAGUCAACUGUGCAGGCUUGCAGGAUUGGAGCCCUCGGAUACAGGAGCUGCACUGUGGCCAAACAUCCCUGUUUCUUCAGGUUUGGGAACAAAUCGAGACUGUUUUCUUCCCGAGAAGCAAACACUUCAGAUAACUAGCGGCAGUUCUUAGAAAGAAUGUGAACGGAUCUCCCCACCUCCGAAGCUGUCUGGAAACCUGGAAAGUCUAUUCAUGAGGAAAGAGGUUUGCUUAAAUACUUUCUUCAGUGGCCUGUAUGGUCGAGUCUGAGAGUUUUGCGCUCAGUGAAUGAUACCUUAAGUUUAUAAGCCAGCCUGGCCUUCCACAUGCUGAGAUCUUCGGCAUGGACCUCCGCAGCAGGCUGAUGCUGGAAUGUUAAUGAGGACAUGACAAGCAAAAUUCCUGUCUCCCUUCCCCAUAUAUGGCAACCCCAGGGCCUAACUGGAGAACACUCCUAUCCACUUUGACGCAUGGGCAAUAUAGGAAACCUAUCAAAAAUAGUAUGUCCUGGGAAAGAUGGAUGGGCUAAGAUCCUGGAAGUGACGGUCUCUUGCAGGAAUUUCAAGCUAAUUGGAACUAUUUAAACUAGAAAGGCAGAUAUGUCUUCAGGUAUUCAUGGUCAAUAGCCACAUGCUGAGUGUUUUGCAGGGUCUCUUUAUUGGAAGACACAAGUGGAAAUAUGGAAGAAUUUGGAUUCCCUAGGAUCCAAAAACAAGCUUGCAAGAGGGUUGGAUUUAAGUCCUGGCACCUCCCUAUUCAGCCUAUGGGGG